GGGCCUGUAGUUCAGCUGGUUAGAACGCUCCGCUCAUAACGGAGUUGUCGGGGGUUCGAGUCCCUCCAGGCCCACCA
RNAcentral lists this transfer RNA (77 nucleotides) under Pseudomonadota bacterium. Its description in RNAcentral is "tRNA-Met". It matches the Rfam family "tRNA". Rfam says of the family: Transfer RNA (tRNA) molecules are approximately 80 nucleotides in length. Their secondary structure includes four short double-helical elements and three loops (D, anti-codon, and T loops). Lineage: Bacteria; Pseudomonadati; Pseudomonadota. The record is from RNAcentral. RNAcentral also lists the same sequence under 1 other name.